Molecule: microRNA, 22 nt
Filed under: Gallus gallus (chicken)
Lineage: Eukaryota; Metazoa; Chordata; Aves; Galliformes; Phasianidae
Description: gga-miR-6562-5p
Source: miRBase by way of RNAcentral
AGGGGAAAGGAAUGUGCUGUGG